GUGUGUCGGUUUUUUUUUUUUUUUUUUUUUUUUGUUAAGCCCUGAGCUAUGCGCAAAAAAGGACAUCUUCGCUGGCUGUGCACUCCAUUAUGCAUUUUAUGUGCGCCCUCAUUCAGUGUCUGUUGACAUUUUUAUUCCAAGUAGUUAAGCAAUAUUUCCACUAACGUGUGGCCGGAUCGGAGUCCAACAAUCUAUAAAGAAAUAGUUGGCUCUACGGACUUAAAAACGCUUCCUUCACCGUGUUACGAAUCUCAUCGGAAAUGGAGAGGACUCUCUGUCAGUGUGCGGCAAAAUCUAUUUUACCAAACGCACGCACUGCUGGCAGCAGGAGAAGAGCGAGGGCCAUCUAAGCGGACUGCCUGGCAUGCUUAUAGUAAAUACUAUAUGUGCAUUUAUGCUGUAGUUUUCCGAGCGACUGCACAUGGCAAUGCAGCCCAUGCUAAUGCUAAUGCCUCUGCCCCUGCCCCUGCAUUAGUCCCUGUCCCUGCCUCCUGUUUUGUGUGCGCAAUCAGCGCGCGCUGGCAGCAGCUGCUGCUGUUGCUGCUGUUGUACUGUUGUACUGUUGUUGCAACAAGGUGUAAACAUGACCAGCGCGUGUCCUAAGGAAGUGGCGCGCACUUGAUGUCUCAUUAUUACAAUGCUUCACACAGGUUAAUGAUGCGCGCUCUGUGCUUGCUUCCGUGUGUCACAAUUAUGCGAGGCAGCUGAGCUUGAAGCGCGGGUCGGCGUCGCGGGGUCGAUUCGUUGACCUCUGCAGCCAUGGCCAAAAAGCAACUAUAAAUGCCGGAUUGGGGCGAAGGCAAACAAUUCCAGGUCGGUUUUAUGUGCCAUCAUAAAUGUCAGUAGACGUUGGGCACAAUGUGCGGCAGCUAAUUUGAUUUUGAAACUCGGACCAAUUGUGACUAAUGAGUGGCGCACACGUUGCUAAAGCAAACACGGACCAGAUAAAUACUAUAAAACCAAUCCCAAGUGGAAGGAUGAAAGCCUGCCCCAAAGCCCAUAUACCCCACUUUGCCACCUCCCGAGAAGAGCAUUUAAAUUGGUUUUCCUUCUGGCCUUGUGGCUAGCAACAUGAUUUGAGAUAGACACUAAAGCAUUUACACCUGCAGCUGCCACGCCCCUGCGUUCACGUGCUCGACAUAAAGAAAGCAAAUAGAAGAAAACAAAAAUGCAUAAGCGAUUAUUUGUAGAGUGCGCGUGCUCGGCCGCAGGACAUCACUGAGCCACAAAAACCAGGCCAAAAAAUGGAUUUUAGGAAUCGUUAUCAGCACAUUUCGUGACUAUGGCUAAAAAUAUUGAAGCAGCACAACCAAUACUCUGUUCGUGUGUGGGUG
Long non-coding RNA from Drosophila arizonae, 1334 nucleotides. NCBI's taxonomy places the organism in Eukaryota, Metazoa, Arthropoda, Insecta, Diptera, Drosophilidae. The record is from RefSeq and is a predicted model, not a curated record.